UACCCUAAGCGGUGGAUCACUCGGAACGUACGUCGAUGAAGAGCGGAGCCAGCUCCGUGAAGUAUUGUGAAUUGCAGGA
This 79-nucleotide ribosomal RNA is filed under the name Loxosomella plakorticola. RNAcentral's name for it is "partial 5.8S ribosomal RNA". It matches the Rfam family "5.8S ribosomal RNA", at positions 1 to 79 of the family's 154-position model. From Rfam's summary of the family: 5.8S ribosomal RNA (5.8S rRNA) is a component of the large subunit of the eukaryotic ribosome. The record is from RNAcentral. Lineage: Eukaryota; Metazoa; Entoprocta; Loxosomatidae.